UGGGGGAUAUUGCACAAUGGGCGAAAGCCUGAUGCAGCGACGCCGCGUGGGGGAUGAAGGCCUUCGGGUUGUAAACUUCUUUUGCUCUGAACAAGGCAUGCCUUUGGGGUGUGUUGAGUGUAGGGGUUGAUUAGCGCCGGCUAACUACGUGCCAGCAGCCGCGGUAAUACGUAGGGCGCGAGCGUUGUCCGGAAUUAUUGGGCGUAAAGGGCUUGUAGGAGGCUGGUUGCGUCUGUCGUGAAAGCUCAUGGCUUAACUGUGGGUUUGCGGUGGGUACGGGCUGGCUUGAGUGCAGUAGGGGAGGCUGGAAUUCCUGGUGUAGCGGUGGAAUGCGCAGAUAUCAGGAGGAAUACCGGUGGCGAAGGCGGGUCUCUGGGCUGUUACUGACGCUGAGGAGCGAAAGCGUGGGGAGCGAACAGG
This 420-nucleotide ribosomal RNA is filed under the name Fusobacteriota bacterium. RNAcentral describes it as "Fusobacteria bacterium partial 16S ribosomal RNA". It matches the Rfam family "Bacterial small subunit ribosomal RNA", at positions 355 to 776 of the family's 1533-position model. The record is from RNAcentral. Lineage: Bacteria; Fusobacteriati; Fusobacteriota.